CAAGAAUCUGCUGAUGGGCAAAGCCCAUACUCUUCCAUCAGGUCUACUCUUUUAACUGAUACAUCUCCGCGGAGCAGAAACCACAGCCACAAGAUGUCACAACAGGGAGUGAAACACGGAGGGCACUUGUAACUCACAAGUUACCACUCCCUAGCUCCAGGGCGGGGUAGCAGCGAGAUUUUCAUUAAUUGUGUGGGGCCCCAGGAUGUGUUUUGGUUUUGCAAAGCUCUCUGGCAGAGCCUGACUUCCUGUUUAUCUGCCUCCGUACGCUCGCACAGCACAUGCAAUUCAAAACACAAGUGCAUGUGUCUUACAAUUCAGAACCAGAAGAGACUGGAACAUUUUUAAUUAGACUGAAAAUAAAAAGAUAGCAGCUUUGGAAGAUGUGUUCCCCUAGCUCCUUUCCUCUUGAAGGCUGCAAUUAAACAUGUUUUCUGGAGAACUGAUCCUUGCCACCCCAAGGAAAGGGGGAACACGAACCCCAUUAUUUGGUAGUCAACUUCGCCCCUAAAAUAAGUGAAACCGCGAAGCUGUCUUUUACCAGAUGCCCGGGGAACUGGCAGAAAACUGCACGACCAGAGUUUCGUACCCUUGGGGCAUGAUGUACACCAAGAAAUCUGUCAUCAGGGAGCUCUAGAAGGCCCAAGAAGAAAGUCUCACUCUUGCUGCUGACAUAGCCUUUUGCCCAAUGACACCUCUCCUCCCUGAAGCUGCCUAUGAGAGGCCUUUGCUCCUGACAAGCGUGCAGUCCAGACCUGCUCCCCUCUGUUCAGGUUUCAGGUAUUUAUGGAUCGGUGCAAGCCCCAGCACAGUACCCCAGCGUGAUUCCGUGUGUUUAGACGGGAACCGUUUCCUGGGCGAGUGGGGGAUUGUGCAGACGGCUUCUGGAAGACCUUCGUGCUCAGCAGCUUUGGUUCUGGGUGACGCCCUCCUACCCUAG
Molecule: long non-coding RNA, 940 nt
Filed under: Ursus maritimus (polar bear)
Lineage: Eukaryota; Metazoa; Chordata; Mammalia; Carnivora; Ursidae
Description: lncRNA (ENSUMAG00000012540.1)
Source: RNAcentral